CCUUACCCGCUGAACUUAAGCAUAUCAUUAGGCGGAGGAAAAGAAACUAACUAGGAUUCCCUCAGUACGGGCGACGGAAGUGGGAAAAGCCCAAAGUGAAAAUCUGGGAGCAAUCCCCGAAUUGUAAUCUGAAGAUUGCUGUCCUAACGGGAGAAGACGCAUAACUGAUCGUGAGAGGUCGGCCAGAGAGGGUGAGAGCCCCGUAUGUGGUGUCUUUUCUUACCGGGAAAGUAGUCAAAGAGUCGUGUACUCUGAUACGAGUGCACUAAGCGGGAGAUAAACUUCUUCUAAGGCUAAAUAUAUGUAGGAAACCGAUAGCGAACAAGUACUGUGAAGGAAAGAUGAAAAGCACUUUGGAAAGAGAGUUAAAAGACUUGAAAUCGUUGAGGCGGAAGCGGUAGAAAUGAAUUCUACAAUGACCUUAUAUGGCGUGCGAAUACAUAAGCGAGCCAAGUGUAGGAAAAUUGUGAGGCAAGAUGGGGUCGCGCGCUGCCAGAAAAGAGCCAGGUUCUCCUGGUUUAUAUGGGUGACGCGUGGCCUGAGGGGCUUUAGCGAUCUUGUCAAAAUGGUUUUUACCGACCCGUCUUGAAACACGGACCAAGGAGUCUAAGACUAACGCGAGUAUGGUGGUGGAAAAACCAACAUGCGAAAUGAAAGUAAUUGAUGCCAAGGCAACGGCAGCAUCGACCGACCAUGAUCCACUGGUGAAAGGUUUGAGUAAGAGCGUUAUUCUUAGGACCCGAAAGAUGGUGAACUAUGCCUGUGUAGGGUGAAGUCAGGGGAAACUCUGAUGGAAGCUCGUAGCGAUACUGACGUGCAAAUCGUUCGUCGAACAUGGGUAUAGGGGCGAAAGACUAAUCGAACCAUCUAGUAGCUGGUUCCCUCCGAAGUUUCCCUCAGGA
Molecule: ribosomal RNA, 902 nt
Filed under: uncultured eukaryote
Lineage: Eukaryota
Description: eukaryotic LSU rRNA
Rfam family: Eukaryotic large subunit ribosomal RNA
Source: RNAcentral